Molecule: ribosomal RNA, 505 nt
Filed under: uncultured bacterium
Lineage: Bacteria
Description: partial 16S ribosomal RNA
Rfam family: Bacterial small subunit ribosomal RNA
Source: RNAcentral
GACGAACGCUGGCGGCGUGCCUAAUACAUGCAAGUAGAACGCACAGUUUAUACCGUAGCUUGCUACACCAUAAACUGUGAGUUGCGAACGGGUGAGUAACGCGUAGGUAACCUGCCUGGUAGCGGGGGAUAACUAUUGGAAACGAUAGCUAAUACCGCAUAAUAUUGAUUAUUGCAUGAUAAUUGAUUGAAAGAUGCUAUUGCAUCACUACCAGAUGGACUUGCGUUGUAUUAGCUAGUAGGUGAGGUAACGGCGCACCUAGGCGACGAUACAUAGCCGACCUGAGAGGAUGAUCGGCCACACUGAGACUGAGACACGGCCCAGACGCCUACGGGAGGCAGCAGUAGGGAAUCUUCGGCAAUGGACGAAAGUCAGACCGAGCAACGCCGCGUGAGUGAAGAAGGUUUUCGGAUCGUAAAGCUCUGUUGUAAGAGAAGAACGGGUGUGAGAGUGGAAAGUUCACACUGUGACGGUAUCUUACCAGAAAGGGACGGCUAACUACGUG